GAUGAACGCUGGCGGCGUGCCUAAUACAUGCAAGUCGAGCGAACAGACGAGGAGCUUGCUCCUCUGACGUUAGCGGCGGACGGGUGAGUAACACGUGGAUAACCUACCUAUAAGACUGGGAUAACUUCGGGAAACCGGAGCUAAUACCGGAUAAUAUAUUGAACCGCAUGGUUCAAUAGUGAAAGACGGUUUUGCUGUCACUUAUAGAUGGAUCCGCGCCGCAUUAGCUAGUUGGUAAGGUAACGGCUUACCAAGGCAACGAUGCGUAGCCGACCUGAGAGGGUGAUCAGCCACACUGGAACUGAGACACGGUCCAGACUCCUACGGGAGGCAGCAGUAGGGAAUCUUCCGCAAUGGGCGAAAGCCUGACGGAGCAACGCAGCGUGAGUGAUGAAGGUCUUCGGAUAGUAAAACUCUGUUAUUAGGGAAGAACAAAUGUGUAAGUAACUAUGCACGUCUUGACGGUACCUAAUCAGAAAGCCACGGCUAACUACGUG
RNAcentral lists this ribosomal RNA (497 nucleotides) under uncultured bacterium. Its description in RNAcentral is "partial 16S ribosomal RNA". It matches the Rfam family "Bacterial small subunit ribosomal RNA", at positions 28 to 507 of the family's 1533-position model. The record is from RNAcentral.